GACGAACGCUGGCGGCGUGCCUAACACAUGCAAGUCGAACGGAGUGUUUAUUUAUAAACACUUAGUGGCGAACGGGUGAGUAACGCGUAGACAACCUACCCUCUAGAUGGGGACAACACCGCGAAAGUGGUGCUAAUACCGAAUGUUGUAAUGUUGUUGCAUAAUGAUAUUAAGAAAGGUGGCCUCUAUUUAUAAGCUACCGCUGAAGGAUGGGCCUGCGUCUGAUUAGCUAGUUGGUGGGGUAAAGGCCUACCAAGGCGACGAUCAGUAGCCGGUCUGAGAGGAUGAACGGCCACACUGGGACUGAGACACGGCCCAGACUCCUACGGGAGGCAGCAGUGGGGAAUCUUCCGCAAUGGGCGAAAGCCUGACGGAGCAACGCCGCGUGAGUGAAGAAGGUCUUCGGAUUGUAAAGCCCUGUUUAAAGGGACGAAUGGUCAGAUUGUGAAUAAUGAUUUGACAUGACGGUACCUUUGGAGGAAGCCACGGCUAACUACGUGCCAGCAGCCGCCGUAA
This 516-nucleotide ribosomal RNA is filed under the name uncultured bacterium. RNAcentral describes it as "partial 16S ribosomal RNA". It matches the Rfam family "Bacterial small subunit ribosomal RNA", at positions 28 to 523 of the family's 1533-position model. The record is from RNAcentral.